RNAcentral lists this ribosomal RNA (468 nucleotides) under uncultured bacterium. Its description in RNAcentral is "partial 16S ribosomal RNA". It matches the Rfam family "Bacterial small subunit ribosomal RNA", at positions 28 to 507 of the family's 1533-position model. The record is from RNAcentral.
GACGAACGCUGGCGGCGCGCCUAACACAUGCAAGUCGAACGGAGCUGAGAGAAGCUUGCUUUUCUUAGCUUAGUGGCGAACGGGUGAGUAACGCGUGAGUAACCUGCCCUGGAGUGGGGGACAACAGUUGGAAACGACUGCUAAUACUGCAUAAGCCCACGAUCCGGCAUCGGAUUGAGGGAAAAGGAUUUAUUCGCUUCAGGAUGGACUCGCGUCCAAUUAGCUAGUUGGUGAGGUAACGGCCCACCAAGGCGACGAUUGGUAGCCGGACUGAGAGGUUGAACGGCCACAUUGGGACUGAGACACGGCCCAGACUCCUACGGGAGGCAGCAGUGGGGGAUAUUGCACAAUGGGGGAAACCCUGAUGCAGCGACGCCGCGUGGAGGAAGAAGGUUUUCGGAUUGUAAACUCCUGUCGUUAGGGACGAUAAUGACGGUACCUAACAAGAAAGCACCGGCUAACUACGUG